UCACGCCUCGUUAAUCCGAAACACGUUCUAUUGUUGGUUGUGAAGGAGAACAUCGCCGGAUUCCCACCCGCACGGCAGGUGGGUAUGUGGGAGUCGAACCUCACUAAAAACUCCUGCCGCUCACAGCCGGCGCCCUACCCCGGACCGGGCGGGAGCCCAGUCGGAGCUAUUGAGACGGCGGGGCAGGGUUUACGCAGAGCAUAUUACAUCCAUCCCGCCGAUUAUAUUGUGGUAGGUAGCUAUAAGCAUCUUUAAGCAUGUUUGUAGCUUUUAGCAUCGUGUAAUAAAAAUCAAAUACGCAAAAUUAUAA
This is a long non-coding RNA of Bombyx mori (domestic silkworm), 310 nucleotides long. RefSeq lists it as uncharacterized. The transcript has 2 exons. NCBI's taxonomy places the organism in Eukaryota, Metazoa, Arthropoda, Insecta, Lepidoptera, Bombycidae. The record is from RefSeq and is a predicted model, not a curated record.